This is a long non-coding RNA of Thamnophis elegans (Western terrestrial garter snake), 2170 nucleotides long. RefSeq lists it as uncharacterized. Lineage: Eukaryota; Metazoa; Chordata; Lepidosauria; Squamata; Natricidae. The transcript has 5 exons. The record is from RefSeq and is a predicted model, not a curated record.
GCUUACAUGCCCCCGAGUGUAGGCGAGCUGCGGGGUUGGGCUAGCAGCUGUGUGACUUCUCCAACCGAGCCUCUCGGGGAGGGGAGGUGGGCUUCUCCUCUUAGCAUGCGAAGAGAGUGGAAAGGGCCCCGGUUGGUCGGCCUGGGAAGGAGGGACUAUUUUUCUCUCCCCGUGUCCUCUUCGAAGCAGCUGCAGGGGACGGGAACGCCAAGGUUGAACAAGGUUUUUCGCCUCGCUGCUGUGGGGUGGAGUUAUUUUUGCCCCCCUCCUCAAAGUUGACCCCGGACAGGAUCAUUUCAGACACCACCACCACCCUUUUGCAAAAGGGCCGAGGAGUUUUGUAGAUGGGGCCCUUUUUGAGUCCCCCCCCCCCCCAGUUUGUGGAAGGACGGUUGUGUUGGGGCAGGGAACAUAGUGUAUAAUUGCUUCUCCACGCAGAGGCCUGGGGAGGCGGAGGAGGGGCCCGUCUGCUUGCAAGAGCUGCUCGUCUGUUAGCGAGAGGUGGUCCGUAAAAUCAAGGUGACGUGACAUUAUUCCGGGAUAAAAGAGCUGAAGCCUUGUACUUGCUCUCCUUCCUCCCGGCCUGUUUUUUUUUUCUUUUUUUUUAAAAAACCCUCCUCCCUUACAUUUCCACUUUAAUUGCGAUGCAGAGAGGGACCUUCCAUCCCGGUUGAGCUAGGCUGGCCUAUAUUUUAAAGGAACGCAAGCCAGCCUUCCGAUCAUUUUCAGGCGGCUGAGCACAGUUUGGGCCGGGGGUGGGUGGGUUUGCAUAUCCUGGUGGAUCUCAAAUCCGAUCAGCAGAGAGGGCUAAGGAAGGGUGGAGGAAGCAUUUUAACGGGGAUCAGAUAUAGGAUUUAUAGACGCUUGGAAUAAAAUACGCGUUGAUUCAAUUCAUUUCUUUAAUGGCCCGACUUUGAAAGCCCCCCCCCUCUUCCAAGCCCCCCUAACAGCAAUUAAGUACAAGCGGCUGAUCGUUAAGCAGCCAAAAGAGAAAUGUAGAGGAAGCCAGAGAAAAGCUCUAUGUUGUACAUCGCCGACGUAGCUUCCCAGGUUCUUGUCGUACAACGCCGCCAGGCAGAAUACAGUAUCCGCAUUUAAAGCCUCCAGCCCCCGAAACAGAUUGUAGCGGCAAGCAAUCUGCCUGCACGAACGCAAUUUUUUUUUCUUUUUAAAUGUGUACCACGCAGGAAACUCGUUCGCUUCUCCGCUCCGGUUACAGCUGAGUUUGCUGCAAAAAAACGCGAGUACGAAACGCCCCUCUAUUGCAAGUUUUGGCUCGGUCAGAAGACGUUUUCGAGGGACCAGGUGUGCACAUGCCAGGUCACAGAAUAAGCUACAGUGAUUUUGACAAAGAGACUGAAGAUUUUCAGCAAGUCUGAAAAAUCCCCAUUGCCUCAAUUCUGAUUCAGACAGAGGCGAGAUUCAGAUACUGGAGGAAUUUGGAAAAUACUAUGAGUAUCUGAUGUUUGAUUGAAUCAGGAAGAGGCAAAAGGAAAAAAAGGAUGCAUGCGGGUGUAUGGGGGAACAGCCUGAAGGAACCAUUUGCAACUGGAAGGGCCAAAAGAAGCAUUUGGACAAUUGCAUCUCAUCUCACCAUGACAAAACAAUGCAAUCUUUAAGAUCUUGAUAUUACAACAGUUGAUUUAAAAACCUUCAACUGGUCCAGAAUACAGCAGCCCACAUGCUUGUGGGUGAAAGCCAUUGGUGAUGUGGGGAUCUGCUUGAAUUUAUAGACUUCUGAGUAACAAUGCAAAAGCCACAGUACAAAUGUACCAGCCACAGAGAGCCUAUAAAAGUUAUCCAUGGCUUAGUGCCCAUCACCUUGAAGUAGUCCUAUUUGUACAGUGCACCCAUCCUGAGUAGUGAUAUUGAGGAUUCUUUCCUCUCAAGCAAUGUAGGAGAGAGAAUGUUAUAUUUUAGUGGGGAAAUCUAGAGCACAUAUCAUUUUGCCUUUUAGAAAUGUAUUAAAACAGCUGUUCAGAAGGUCCUUUAAUUAAGGUGUAAUUAUCCAGAAGCCUAACAUUUUAAUAAGAUGGAGCUUUCAUAGUUUAAUAUAUUCAUUAUGUUCUGUUGCACUAUUUUGAUGUUAUAGUUUUUAAUAACUUGUGUCUACGGGUCCUUUUGAAUGACGUAGUAUUAAAGUGCCGCAAAUAAAUAAAUACUGAAUCCA